This is a long non-coding RNA of Mauremys reevesii (Reeves's turtle), 610 nucleotides long. RefSeq lists it as uncharacterized. NCBI's taxonomy places the organism in Eukaryota, Metazoa, Chordata, Testudines, Geoemydidae. The record is from RefSeq and is a predicted model, not a curated record. The transcript is spliced from 4 exons.
GUGGCUGGGAGUGUGCCAGGAAAACCUGAAGGAGGACUGGACUAACCUGCCUGCUAGAGGACUGCAUCUAGGCCUGCAGAUAAGACUAUUUAAUUCCUUGGUUUUGCUUUGUUUAUGCACUUCCUCUGCUGCUGCUGCCUGGAUCCUGCACACUGCUGCCCAGGAGAAGUGAGAGCAUAGGCAGGAGGUACCAAACCCAUAAGUGAUACAAGACAUACCCUGAUAAUGUGGAUGGGUGCCAUAUAAAUACCUAAGACACACAGGGUCUGCUUUCCCAGCAAGAGCCAAAACUAAAAUCACAAGGCUGGAGCACAGCGAGGCCUCCACAGUAGCCACUGCUGCCCUAACUGCUAUCCAGCAGCCCCCCGUGGACAGCUCCAGACAGCUGCUCACCUCGCCCGGGAAAUCAGGGGCAGGGGGAGCGUGACAAGGGGACCUGCGAUCACAGACCCCUUGACCCCCUCGCCCGCCGGCGCAGCACCGAAGGCAUAACCCAGCCCAGCUCACGGACCAGGCGGGCAAACCCAGGCUGGGGGUCACACACCCCGGAGCCCUGCAAUGGCUCCGAGGGGCUCCCCCCGUACAGGGCUCCUGGGGGGCGGCGGGGCAG